RNAcentral lists this ribosomal RNA (445 nucleotides) under uncultured bacterium. RNAcentral describes it as "partial 16S ribosomal RNA". It matches the Rfam family "Bacterial small subunit ribosomal RNA", at positions 354 to 796 of the family's 1533-position model. The record is from RNAcentral.
GUGAGGAAUAUUGGUCAAUGGGCGAGAGCCUGAACCAGCCAAGUCGCGUGAAGGAAGAAGGAUCUAUGGUUCGUAAACUUCUUUUGCAGGGGAAUAAAGUGCAGGACGUGUCCUGUUUUGUAUGUACCCUGAGAAUAAGGAUCGGCUAACUCCGUGCCAGCAGCCGCGGUAAUACGGAGGAUCCGAGCGUUAUCUGGAUUUAUUGGGUUUAAAGGGUGCGUAGGUGGUUUGAUAAGUCAGCGGUGAAAGUUUGCAGCUUAACUGUAAAAAUGCCGUUGAAACUGUCGGACUUGAGUGUAAAUGAGGUAGGCGGAAUGCGUGGUGUAGCGGUGAAAUGCAUAGAUAUCACGCAGAACUCCGAUUGCGAAGGCAGCUUACUAAGCUACAACUGACACUGAAGCACGAAAGCGUGGGGAUCAAACAGGAUUAGAAACCCCGGUAGUCC